RNAcentral lists this ribosomal RNA (672 nucleotides) under uncultured Bacteroidales bacterium. RNAcentral's name for it is "bacterial SSU rRNA". It matches the Rfam family "Bacterial small subunit ribosomal RNA", at positions 64 to 732 of the family's 1533-position model. The record is from RNAcentral. Lineage: Bacteria; Pseudomonadati; Bacteroidota; Bacteroidia; Bacteroidales.
CAGCAUCAUCAAAGCUUGCUUUGAUGGAUGGCGACCGGCGCACGGGUGAGUAACACGUAUCCAACCUGCCGACAACACUGGGAUAGCCUUUCGAAAGAAAGAUUAAUACCGGAUGGCAUAGUUUUCCCGCAUGGGAUAAUUAUUAAAGAAUUUCGGUUGUCGAUGGGGAUGCGUUCCAUUAGGCAGUUGGCGGGGUAACGGCCCACCAAACCAACGAUGGAUAGGGGUUCUGAGAGGAAGGUCCCCCACAUUGGAACUGAGACACGGUCCAAACUCCUACGGGAGGCAGCAGUGAGGAAUAUUGGUCAAUGGACGAGAGUCUGAACCAGCCAAGUAGCGUGAAGGAUGACUGCCCUAUGGGUUGUAAACUUCUUUUAUACGGGAAUAAAGUUAGCCACGUGUGGCUUUUUGUAUGUACCGUAUGAAUAAGGAUCGGCUAACUCCGUGCCAGCAGCCGCGGUAAUACGGAGGAUCCGAGCGUUAUCCGGAUUUAUUGGGUUUAAAGGGAGCGUAGGCGGGUUGUUAAGUCAGUUGUGAAAGUUUGCGGCUCAACCGUAAAAUUGCAGUUGAUACUGGCGACCUUGAGUGCAACAGAGGUAGGCGGAAUUCGUGGUGUAGCGGUGAAAUGCUUAGAUAUCACGAAGAACUCCGAUUGCGAAGGCAGCUUACUGG